Molecule: non-coding RNA, 5768 nt
Organism: Monodelphis domestica (gray short-tailed opossum)
Lineage: Eukaryota; Metazoa; Chordata; Mammalia; Didelphimorphia; Didelphidae
Source: RefSeq, a predicted model, not a curated record
UGUCAUCUACCCUAACUUUGAAUAUUAGUAAUUCAUUUCUUUGGGUUAAACAUGGCCUCCUCCUUAUAUUGUAUUUUAAGGUUUACAUAUGCCUAGAUGAGGUAGAGACUUGUGGGGGCUAGUUUAUCUGUAGCUUUCUUCUAAGAUCAGAGGGCCUCGUGUUCCAUAGAGACACCAGGGUAUUUGGAAUGGUAGUUCAGUGAAGGAGAAAAACAAUAAAAAGGAGAGAUCACUCUACUGACCUGGGAACUACUCAAUUGCCACUUUGUCUCCAGGAAGGGCUCCUCAGUAAUCCUGGGAGAAAAUCGUAUAAGAUGUCUCUGGUAUUAUCUAGACAUACAAGGGUGCCCCACUAUGACCACAUCUCUCUGUUACCACUGUUACCCAUUACCCUAUUGGAGGGGUCAAAGAACUUUCAACCUUUGGUUUCUUCCCCUUAUCCAGAGGAUUGUGGCCAGCACUACUCCCAGCAUGCUGGCCCCAUGGCAAGGGGAUGCCCAAGCAGCAUUCAUUUCAGGGAUUCAGGACAACCAAAAUAUUUCAGAAGCAGCAAAACCCCAUACAAUAUAGAAGUUGAGGAAUACAAAACAGGUUGGAAAUGACUUCAGAGAGAAGAUAUCUCUAUCCCUUUCUGUUACCCAUACCUUGGGGCUCCCAGAUCAAGGAAUCCCUUAGGUGGGCUGAUCUAGUGAAGAGUUUGCUUUAGAGCCUCUAAAUAGCUUUUCCCUAGGUUGUUUCCCAUAUGUAAACACUAUUCUUACCAGCCCUUGAUUUUAAACUUUCUAUUGUUCCUUCUCUGGACUGUAUAUGAUCCAGUCUGGGGGUUGCUAUUCCCUUAGAAUUAUAUAUUAGAGCUAGAAAUAGUAUCCAUUUCAACCUCCUCAUUUUGGAGAUGAGAAAAUUAAGACCCAGAGAUAUUAUAUGACUCACCUGAGGUCACACAGCUAUUAAGUGACCUAUCCCAGACCAGAGAUUUCCUGCCUUCCAGUAUGAAGCUCACUCUACCACAUCAUGCUGCCUUUGCUUGACGGGGGAAUCCUACGCAAUGUGGAAGGCCCGCCUGGAACUUAGGUAUCCAGGGGUUCAGAACCCCAGUUCUCAGAUGGAGCCAAGAUGGUGGCUUAGUAGCAGUGAAAGCUGAAACCACUCAAAGAAUCUUCCCAAACCAACCUUAAAGUAGCACCUAAAAAUGACAGGAGUCACAAAACCAACAGCAAGAUGGAGUGAGGGGGCUCUCCAGCAGAAAACUUGAAAGUCCAAGGAGAAGAGGGAAAUGGAAGAGCAGAAGACUGCUUGAGGAAGAUGACCUCUAUAGAAAAUAAUUAGAACGCAAAGGAAGACAAGGAAUUCCUAACUCUUCUUGGCCAGGGCUGAGGCAAGGUGGCAAUGAGAAACUGUGGGGCAAAGGGAGAAGGCCACCACUGAAUCUCCUGAGAACAUGUAAAGCACAUAGAGAGUACAGUGGUUACAGGGCUGGACUUGGAGUCAAGAAGGUCUGAGUUCAAAUCCCCUCUCAUCAACUUAUUAUCUUUGACACUGGGGUCUUCUGCUUCUCAGCUUAGAGUCUCCUUGUGAGUGUCCGAAUGGUUCAAAGGUCCCCAGUCGUGGGGUUCCAAAGCCAGCCACCCCAUACCCCCAGCACCAGUGGAAGAACCCUCCAGCCAAAGCUCUUCAGUAGGUCUCUUGCAACCAAAGGCAGAGUGGGGCAUCACUGAGCCAAAGGAAGCCAUCCUUGGGCUGCCAACCCUGGCAUCCAGGCCAAAUCGAUUUGGAUUUUAAGAACACCCUUUCCCCAUUUCAUAAGACCACAGUAAUAGAAAUACAGAGAGAGACAAGAGUAAGCAGGUAAUGGUUAUUCCCUGGGGUCAUAUCAUGCCCUGACUGGGCACAAUGUCACUUCUGGCUACUCCCAUUAGUUUUCAGGGACCAUCACAGUUAUAUGUGACUUGGAUAGGGAAACACUCUGGUUCAUGUUGCAUCAAGGGGCAUCUUGGCAAGCAACAGGAAAGGUGGGGGUAGCAUGGGGGUGGGACAUGGAGUGCUUUAAGCAGAGCAGUACAGUUGGCAAUGCCAAGCAGGAUAGGGCAGAAGAAGCAGGUGUGUGGUAGCCAGAUGGGGCAGGCAAGGGAAAGGAACCUUUAAGAGCUGGGCAUAGUCAAUUGGUGGUACUGGGAGAAGGUAGCGCACUGGGGCUUAGGGGGAGAAGGUAGGAAGGCACAGGAUUGGGGCUGGGAUGGACAAAGGGAAUAUGGUUCAUGUAGGGAGGGGAUGGGGAAACAGAUAAUAUCCCUCUGGACACCUGCCCUCACCUCUCCUCUCUACCAUAUAAGCACAGGGAAGUUGCUGGCUUGGCCUUCUGAGGUCUCUUAUUUAGGCAGGGAGUGGGAGAUGGAAGAGAAUGGAUAUAUAGGAAGGGAGAAAAAUUGCUUGUGGGGCCCAAGUUGAGUCCAGCUUCCUCUAUGUCCACUGGUUUGAAGCUACAUGGUUCUCCCUACCCUAUAGCACCUUUAGGACAUCUUUUAUAAUUUAAUCCUGGGUAAUAUAUUAUAUGGUAUUUUCAACUGCUUUCUGUUUCAUAUGUGUCUGUCUUGUCUCUUUGUAAAUCUCUUUGUAGCUCUGAGACCAGAAGCCUGUCUUACAUUCUUAUCCCAUCUCCAAAAGGCACCUAGCUCAAGAUGAAGCACACAGUAGGGACUCAUUAAAUAUUUUUAAUUUUAAAUUGUUACUUUCUUAGUAACAACUCUAAGACAGUCAACAAGGGAACAAUCCUAUAAUAGACUGACCUGGAACUAAAGGAUAUAAAACGAACAAGGACAGUGCCUUGAAUGUUAUAAGCAUUUUAAUAAAUAUUGUGAUGUGUCUUCAUCUAGCACUCCCUCAUUUGUGGGCAGAUUGGGGACAGGGAAUGUUUUAUGUUAGGAUGGCGAUGCCUAAUUAUUCCUUUUCCCCACCUCUUCAGGACCUGUGAUUUCAUCAAUGUGGGGAACUCUCUAGCAGAGAAACUCUCCACCAAUUCAAAUCCCCAACUCAUCCAUCACUUCGAGCCUUGAAGGGUUAUUAGGGACAUUAAGAGGUUAUGGAUCACUAAGCCCACAUGUGACAGAUGUACCCCCUGAACCCAGGCUUCCUGCCUCUAAGUUCAUCAGUGUCCUGGCUACUCCACUACACUGCCUCUCUUCUUUCUUAAAUCCCUGUAAUGAACCAGGUCAGCUAGCAUGGAGUUUGGCAAGUGGCCUAGCCACCAGCCAAAGGUGGGAGCCAAAGGAGGGAGACCUGUUGCCUGAAGCCUCAAAAGAGCAUCAGCUCUAAAAGGCAUAUAGUGGGGAGAAGGCUGACUGCCCCUGGAGGGAUGGAGGGCAGGAAAUCCCCACAUGCCAGGUUCUCAACCAGGAGAGCUCAAAGACAGAUUGUCAUCUCCGCCUAAAGGUGGGGGUCCAGGGGAGUCAAGGGGGAGAAGAAGAGAUUUGCCCUUUAGGUCUGGUGGGAGAGGUGUGAUGUUGGAUCCUGGGGUGGAGGAUGCCAGUAUUACCUGAGAAGAAGUGGGCCUUGAAACCCUUCUUGGAGACAGUGUUGUCCGACUUAAAUUCCACUCGCAUGUUGUUGUACUGGGAGGUUAUCACCUCGGGUUUUUCAGCACCGCAGAACUUGCCAUGAAGUUUGGAAUCUGCUGUCAGUCCGCUUCUUACUUCCACAAAGUCAUACUUGCACACCUGCCCCAAAGGGUUCUGCUCAAGUCCCCCUUCCAAGAAAGCCUCCCUUCCCGAACACAUCCAGCUCUCAACCAGCUACUUAUGCUCUGAACCAGCAAAGGCAGGGGUCCUUAAACUGAAGUCCACACCCCACCUUCCUAGGGGACCAGAGAUUGAUUUCAGGGUGUUCAUGAACUGAUGAGGAAAAUAACUGCAUCUUUAUUUUCACUAACUUGCAAUUGAAAUUUAGCAUUUCCUUCAAAUAUUUAAAAACAUGAUUUUGAGAAAAGGGUCCAUUAAGUUUCACUCAACUGCCAUGGAGGUCUAUGACUCACGAAAAGUGAAAAAGCCUCUGCCCUGGAGGGGCAGAGGGAUUUGAACCCCCAACCAAGGAUGAAACAUACUCUCUUUAAAAAAAAAAAAAACCUUACCUUCUGUUUUAGAAUCAAUACUAAGCAUUAGUUCCAAGACCAAAGAAUGGUAAGGGCUAGGCAAAGGGGCUUAAGGGACUUGAACUUGUCACCUAUAUUUUGCUUUUAUGUCUCUGAAAGCCUCUAGCACAUAGCAGGCCCACAAAAUGUUUGAUUGGUUUAUAAAACAUGAACUCUGUUCUUAAGAAGUUUACAGUUUGGGGUUGUUGAAGGAACAGGGGGUUGGGACAGUGGCCUGAGCCACAAUAAACUCUUUCUAGUAUUAGAAGGGCCGUCAUGUGGAUGAUAAUCUGUUCUAUUUGGUCCCAGAGGGGAAAAUUGGGAGCAAGAUGGGAAAUUCAGAAAGGCAGUGACUUAAGUUUGAUACUUGUAAGGUAGUGAGUCCCCCAUCAAAGGAGGUCAUCAUGCAGAGACUAGAUAACCACUUUAUAAGAUCAGAGAUCUAAAGCUGAAAGGGGUAUCAAAGGACAUGUUAGUCCAAUCCCUUCAUUUAAUAAAUGGAAACUCAGUGAGAUUAAAUACCUUAAAUUCCUAUAUUGUCACAAAAAUAUCAGAGAUAAGAUUUGAACUCAAAUCCUUUGAUCUCCAAAGCCAAUGGAAAGAGCAUUAGGUUUGAAAUCCAGUGAUGCUAUUUGGAAAGAACAGAAUCAGCAUUCAAGAAACAUCUUUUAAAUAAGAUGGCAUGGCCAGCUGGGUGGGUCAAUGGAUAGAGCAUCCUACCUGGAGAUAGAAGGUCCUGGGUUCAAAUCUGACCCCAGACACUUCCUAGCAGUGUCACCCUGGGCAAGUCACUUGACUCCAAUUGUCUUAGGACCAAUACUUAGUAUUAAUUCUAAGAAGGAAGGUAAGGGUUUAAAAAAUAAAUAAGAUUUUUUAAAGAAGGAUAUGAGCACAGAAGAAUGGGGCACCACUUCUUUGUUCUGCCCUGCCCUGGGCACUGGAGCUAGUACUUACAUCAUUUCCCUCUGUUUCAAAGAAGUCAAAUUGUAAGGAGAUUCGGUACUGGGUAGGUGCCACAAGUUGCCAGAUACAGUUCUUAUUGGGAGGGUAUUCCUUGGGCCACCCUGGGCUGGUGAUGGAGCCAUUGAGCUUGGUAAGAAAACCACCGCAGGCAGCUGUGGGGUGGAGGGUAUAGGGAAGAUUGGGUUAGAGAAGUUAUCAUAUACCAAAGGCCCCUGACCUGGGAGUGGGGAAAGAGCAUGGCAGAGUGAAGCCCUGGCUUGGGCAGGACUGAGACGCUGGCUGCCCCCCAGGAGAGUGCAAAGGGAAAUACUCAGUGGCUCCACAAGCCCAGGCAGCCAGGACUGGAUGAGGACAGGGGUGGGAGGUAGGGAGUCAAAGCAAAAGCCUCCAGAAAUCUUUAGGAGCACUAACGUAGAGUCAUCAACCAAAUCUCCCAGCUCUUCAGGGAAGGCACUGGUCCAAGGGCUAUCAGGAAUGAUUACUGACAAAAAGUUAACUUCUGGACGUCAGAGGGAAUAGAGAUCGGGGGUGAGCGUGGUGAUGGCAUGCUGCUCACCUUCACAGCGACGCUUGUCUGGAGCCAGCUCAUAGCCUGGGUCACAGCUGCAUUUAUAACUGCCUAGAGUGUUGAGACAUCGCUGCUCACAGCCUCCUCGGUUGGGCCGGGAGCACUCGUCUACCUCUG